AUGAACGCUAGCGACAGGCCUAACACAUGCAAGGUCAGGGGCAGCACAAGGAGCAAUCUGAGGUGGCGACCGGCGCACGGGUGAGUAACACGUAUGCAACCUGCCUGUAAGCGGGGAAUAACCCGUUGAAAGACGGACUAAUACCGCAUAAUACUAAAUUACUGCAUGGUAAUUUAUUUAAACAUUUAUGGCUUACAGAUGGGCAUGCGCAUGAUUAGCUAGUUGGAGAGGUAACGGCUCCCCAAGGCAACGAUCAUUAGGGGUUCUGAGAGGAAGGUCCCCACACUGGUACUGAGACACGGACCAGACUCCUACGGGAGGCAGCAGUGAGGAAUAUUGGUCAAUGGACGAGAGUCUGAACCAGCCAAGUCGCGUGCAGGAAGAAUGUCCUAAUGGAUUGUAAACUGCUUUUGCAGGGGAAUAAAGUGCAUCACGUGUGAUGUUUUGUAUGUACUCUGCGAAUAAGGAUCGGCUAACUCCGUGCCAGCAGCGGC
RNAcentral lists this ribosomal RNA (494 nucleotides) under uncultured bacterium. RNAcentral describes it as "bacterial SSU rRNA". It matches the Rfam family "Bacterial small subunit ribosomal RNA", at positions 29 to 518 of the family's 1533-position model. The record is from RNAcentral.